CCUACGGGGGGCAGCAGUAGGGAAUUUUCGUCAAUGGGCGCAAGCCUGAACGAGCAAUGCCGCGUGAACGAGGAAGGUCUUCGGAUCGUAAAGUUCUGUUGAAGGGGAAAAAGAGCGGAGAGAGGAAAUGGUCUCCGAUUGAUAUUACCCUUCGAGGAAGUCACGGCUAACUACGUGCCAGCAGCCGCGGUAAUACGUAGGUGGCGAGCGUUAUCCGGAAUGAUUGGGCGUAAAGGGUGCGUAGGCGGCCUGCUAAGUCUGGAGUGAAAGGUACCGGCUCAACCGGUACAGGCUCUGGAAACUGGCGGGCUAGAGAGCAGGAGAGGGCGGUGGAACUCCAUGUGUAGUGGUAAAAUGCGUAGAUAUAUGGAAGAACACCAGUGGCGAAGGCGGCCGCCUGGCCUGUUACUGACGCUGAGGCACGAAAGCGUGGGGAGCAAAUAGGAUUAGAGACCCCAGUAGUC
RNAcentral lists this ribosomal RNA (464 nucleotides) under uncultured bacterium. Its description in RNAcentral is "partial 16S ribosomal RNA". It matches the Rfam family "Bacterial small subunit ribosomal RNA", at positions 338 to 795 of the family's 1533-position model. The record is from RNAcentral.